CGAGGGUGCAAGCGUUGUUCGGAAUUACUGGGCGUAAGGGCGUGCAGGCGGGUUGGUAAGUCAGAUGUGAAAGCCCUGGGCUCAACCCAGGAAGUGCAUUUGAAACUGCCAUCCUUGAGUAUGGGAGAGGAGAGUGGAAUUCCCAAUGUAGAGGUGAAAUUCGUAGAUAUUGGGAGGAACACCCGUGGCGAAGGCGACUCUCUGGACCAAUACUGACGCUGAGACGCGAAAGCGUGGGGAGCAAACAGGAUUAGAUACCCGAGUAGUCC
This 269-nucleotide ribosomal RNA is filed under the name uncultured archaeon. Its description in RNAcentral is "partial 16S ribosomal RNA". It matches the Rfam family "Bacterial small subunit ribosomal RNA", at positions 527 to 796 of the family's 1533-position model. The record is from RNAcentral.